CGGCCAGACUCCUACGGGAGGCAGCAGUGAGGAAUAUUGGUCAAUGGGCGCGAGCCUGAACCAGCCAAGUCGCGUGAGGGAAGACGGUCCUAUGGCUUGGAAACCUCUUUUGUCGGGGAGCAAAAGACGCCACGCGUGGCGUUCCGAGAGUACCCGAAGAAAAAGCAUCGGCUAACUCCGUGCCAGCAGCCGCGGUAAUACGGAGGAUGCGAGCGUUAUCCGGAUUUAUUGGGUUUAAAGGGUGCGUAGGUUGUUUUUUAAGUCAGCGGUGAAAGUUUGUGGCUCAACCAUAAAAUUGCCGUUGAAACUGGAAGACUUGAGUGUGUUUGAGGUAGGCGGAAUGCGUGGUGUAGCGGUGAAAUGCAUAGAUAUCACGCAGAACUCCGAUUGCGAAGGCAGCUUACUAAGCCAUAACUGACACUGAAGCACGAAAGCGUGGGGAUCAAACAGGAUUAGAUACCCGAGUAC
Molecule: ribosomal RNA, 468 nt
Filed under: uncultured bacterium
Lineage: Bacteria
Description: bacterial SSU rRNA
Rfam family: Bacterial small subunit ribosomal RNA
Source: RNAcentral